AUUGAACGCUAGCGGGAUGCUUUACACAUGCAAGUCGUACGAGUGGCGGACGGGUGAGUAAUAUAUCGGAACGUGCCCAGUAGCGGGGGAUAACUACUCGAAAGAGUGGCUAAUACCGCAUACUAUCGGAGCAGCCGAUUUCGGAUUAGCUAGUUGGUGGGGUAAAGGCGCACCAAGGCAACGAUCCGUAGCUGGUCUGAGAGGAUUACCAGACACACUGGAACUGAGACAAGGCCCAGACUCCUACGGGAGGCAGCAGUGGGGAAUUUUGGACAAUGGGGGAAACCCUGAUCCAGCCAUCCCGCGUGUAUGAGAAGCCCUUCGGGUUUUAAAGUACUUUUGGCAGAGAAGCGGUAUCUGCAGAAUAAGCACCGGCUAACUACGUGCCAGCAGCCGCGGUAAUAC
Molecule: ribosomal RNA, 405 nt
Filed under: uncultured bacterium
Lineage: Bacteria
Description: partial 16S ribosomal RNA
Rfam family: Bacterial small subunit ribosomal RNA
Source: RNAcentral